Molecule: long non-coding RNA, 408 nt
Filed under: Trifolium pratense (red clover)
Lineage: Eukaryota; Viridiplantae; Streptophyta; Magnoliopsida; Fabales; Fabaceae
Description: long non-coding RNA (TPRA_LNC010675)
Source: RNAcentral
GGCUUCAUAGAUAGUCUUGCAUUGUUUUGGUUAUUUUAAACUGUUUUGUAUUUUUUGUAAAUUGUGAUCCCAAAACAGUAGUUUGAAGCCACUGCUUAUGACCAGUUUUUCAUUAAUUUAUUAUCUGUCAGCUGAACUUUUCCUCAAGUUGUGAUGUGCUACCCCUUUUGAAAUAAAGAAAAUAUAAAACAUUGUUAUUGUGGUAUCUUUGUCAUAUGAAUCAUAGGUUUCUUUGGCACAACAUCUAGGGUUAAAUUAAGCUUUUGGCUUCUAUUUGUGGCCAAACAUGUGGUUUUGUUAAGGAGGAUUUGUUAUUUUCCAAAGUUUACUUGAUAUUCUCUCUGUUAUUCUCUUAGAAGUUAAAAAUGGGGAAACUCGCUAGUUCUUUGCUCAUCAGUUACCGUACGU